CCUACGGGUGGCAGCAGUGGGGAAUAUUGCACAAUGGGGGAAACCCUGAUGCAGCGACGCCGCGUGAGUGAAGAAGUAAUUCGUUAUGUAAAGCUCUAUCAGCAGGGAAGAAAAUGACGGUACCUGAGUAAGAAGCCCCGGCUAACUACUUGCCAGCAGCCGCGGUAAUAAGUAGGGGGCAAGCGUUAUCCGGAUUUACUGGGUGGAAAGUGAGCGUAGACGGCAGUGCAAGUCUGGAGUGAAAGGCGGGGGCUCAACCCCCGGACUGCUCUGGAAACUGUAAGGCUGGAGUGCAGGAGAGGUAAGUGGAAUUCCUAGUGUAGCGGUGAAAUGCGUAGAUAUUAGGAGGAACACCAGUGGCGAAGGCGGCUUACUGGACUGUAACUGACGUUGAGGCUCGAAAGCGUGGGGAGCAAACAGGAUUAGAUACCCCAGUAGUC
This 440-nucleotide ribosomal RNA is filed under the name uncultured bacterium. Its description in RNAcentral is "partial 16S ribosomal RNA". It matches the Rfam family "Bacterial small subunit ribosomal RNA", at positions 338 to 795 of the family's 1533-position model. The record is from RNAcentral.